This 479-nucleotide ribosomal RNA is filed under the name uncultured Campylobacterota bacterium. RNAcentral describes it as "bacterial SSU rRNA". It matches the Rfam family "Bacterial small subunit ribosomal RNA", at positions 400 to 896 of the family's 1533-position model. The record is from RNAcentral. Lineage: Bacteria; Pseudomonadati; Campylobacterota.
CGUGGAGGAUGACGCAUUUCGGUGUGUAAACUCCUUUUACGAGUCAAGAAAAUGACGGUAGCUCGUGAAUAAGCACCGGCUAACUCCGUGCCAGCAGCCGCGGUAAUACGGAGGGUGCAAGCGUUACUCGGAAUCACUGGGCGUAAAGGACGCGUAGGCGGGAAGCCAAGUCUGAUGUGAAAUCCUAUGGCUUAACCAUAGAACUGCAUUGGAAACUGGUUACCUAGAGCAUGGGAGGGGGAGAUGGAAUUAGUGGUGUAGGGGUAAAAUCCGUAGAUAUCACUAGGAAUACCGAAAGCGAAGGCGAUCUCCUGGAACAAUACUGACGCUAAGGCGUGAAAGCGUGGGGAGCAAACGGGAUUAGAUACCCCGGUAGUCCACGCCCUAAACGAUGAACACUAGUCGUCGGAAUGCUAGUCAUUUCGGUGAUGCACUUAACAGAUUAAGUGUUCCGCCUGGGGAGUACGGUCGCAAGAUUA